GAGUUUGAUCGUGGCUCAGAUUGAACGCUGGCGGCAGGCCUAACACAUGCAAGUCGAGCGGAUGAAGGGAGCUUGCUCCUGGAUUCAGCGGCGGACGGGUGAGUAAUGCCUAGGAAUCUGCCUGGUAGUGGGGGAUAACGUCCGGAAACGGGCGCUAAUACCGCAUACGUCCUGAGGGAGAAAGUGGGGGAUCUUCGGACCUCACGCUAUCAGAUGAGCCUAGGUCGGAUUAGCUAGUUGGUGGGGUAAAGGCCUACCAAGGCGACGAUCCGUAACUGGCCUGAGAGGAUGAUCAGUCACACUGGAACUGAGACACGGUCCAGACUCCUACGGGAGGCAGCAGUGGGGAAUAUUGGACAAUGGGCGAAAGCCUGAUCCAGCCAUGCCGCGUGUGUGAAGAAGGUCUUCGGAUUGUAAAGCACUUUAAGUUGGGAGGAAGGGCAGUAAGUUAAUACCUUGCUGUUUUGACGUUACCAACAGAAUAAGCACCGGCUAACUUCGUGCCAGCAGCCGCGGU
Molecule: ribosomal RNA, 517 nt
Filed under: uncultured microorganism
Description: bacterial SSU rRNA
Rfam family: Bacterial small subunit ribosomal RNA
Source: RNAcentral